GGCUUAAUUUAACUCAACAUAGGAAACCUCACUUAGGCUGGAAGUGGAUUGACUGAUCACCCUCUCUGGCUGGAGGCUCAUGCUGUUGGUAGCUGACGUCUCUGGUGAGGCCAACAACAAACAAGUUUUUCACUUAGCAAAUAGUAAACGAUCCUGUGCAGAUGAGGUCUGACUCCUUUGAGACCAGUGGUCCUCAGUCACAAUAGACUGAGCAACAACAAGACCGUGAUGACCUUAAUGUCCAGGACUGCUCAAAGAGUGGACCGGCAUGAGUCUUCCCUUUACCCAAAGGUGUGGGCAAAAACCUGCAUAAGAACUCAUAAUGGAAAUUGGCAUUGCAAUUAUUGGUUGCCGGUGAU
Poecilia formosa (Amazon molly) is the source of this 359-nucleotide non-coding RNA. The record is from Rfam. Lineage: Eukaryota; Metazoa; Chordata; Actinopteri; Cyprinodontiformes; Poeciliidae.